GUUUCGACGACAAGUGCUCGCUUGGAAGACGAUGAUAAGGAAUCACGCACAAAUAUCAUAAACAACCGUCUAAUUCGCAUAUUUACGGUGAUAUCACAAAAAGGAAGAUAAAAAGUUCACUUUAAAGAUGUCUGUCUAAAGCUGAACACUACUGCUGUUUGUGGAAUCAAAGUAUGUAUCGUGGUAAUGUCAUUUUAUCAAAUGGAUCGGUGGCCUCACCUUAUGGCAUUGUGCCUGGACAGCAGCAACAACAACGGCCUGUCAUGCUAAAUGCUAUGUAUCGUUUUGGACAACAGACUCAACAAGCCACAUACAGGUCACAAGUCCCUCCUCAAGCUGUUUCUGGACAGCCAUUGCGCAUGCCAUCAGUACCUGCAGGUUAUGGUUCGUUACCAUACACAGUGAAGCCAGCCCCUAUAGUACCAACAGUUGCAGUGAGGAGUCAGACCCGGACCCAGUCUCAGCAGUACAGUUCCACAGUCAUUGGAGGUGGUGGUCAAACCCAGCAUUAUUCUGCUGUCAGGAGUCAAACCCAACAGUUUUCUACGGCACCGAAACCUACUCCGAUCUGUGUGAAUCUCCUGAACAACAACGUUGCUGCUGGUGCCCCCUUACAACAAAACGCUGCAGAGAAUGAACAGAUUCGGAGACUGAUCAUUCAGAAGGCGAACAUCCAGCAGAGUCCAGGCAGUAAAACACUUGUAACUAACAAUACCAUUGUUUCAAAUAACACAAUCAUCAGAAACGAUACACAUGAUACGGUCGUGAGGAAUAAUACAUUUGUUGCUAAUAAGACUAUAGUCGCUAACAACACACUUGUGUCUAAUAGUACACUGGUAAAAAAUAUCAAUCUUGUGAACAACUCGCAAAUCGCCGUCGCAAACCUUACAAGUAGGACUCCCAAUCUUCCCCAGCAAGUCAGAUUCGCUAAUCAGUUUAACGCUGAAAUUCUCAAACAAAUUGACGCAAAACGAAAUCAGCUGUUAGCUCAACGAUAUUACAAUUCACAAAGGUUGAAUGCUGUUCAGAACAAUAGCCAAAAAGAAAACGUGAAUUUGGUUCGUCUUCAAACCGAAAAAUAUCAAGGUAGUGACAUCAGAGCAAUUGAAGGAAGAGUCUCGCCCGCAAACUUGGACGGAAGUGUUUCACCUCAUUCCCGUGAAAGAAGCAUUUCACCUUCUGACGCAGAAAAGAAUAAUUCACCUUCUAAAGAAAGUCCCCCUCCAAGUGAUCCUGAACCAGGCUGUUCAACAACUUCUCUUAAAAGAAGCAUUUCCCCUUGUGAGUUUGAAAAAGUUAUUCGAUCUAAAGACAAAGACGAAGAAGAUAUUACAGACAUGGCAUCAAAGGAUUUUGAAAGGUCAUAUAGCAGAGAUUCGAGACCAUAUUCAAGAAACUCAGAUUCAUAUCAGAGUCGGAGUAGUGGUAAAGGAAAGAGACGUGCAGAGUCGCCCCACGAUGAUGAUGCAAAGCGUGUUCGAGGCCUGCAGUGGGGACAGGGUGUGGACAACGAUAUCGCCCAUUACCAGAACCCUGCUUACGCUGGCACUACAAAGGCCAGUCAAGACAUGCUAGAUUACUUCAUCAAGAAUCACCAGACAGAAUCAGCGUUACAGAAGAAAAAGGAGUUGAGGGACGCACUACUAGCAAUUAUAACUCCUGCUUUCCCUUAUUGCAGUCUGUACAUUGUGGGGUCCUCCAUGAGCGGGUUUGGUACCAUGUCUAGUGAUAUGGAUCUCUGUCUCAGUAUUAGUGACCAACAUAUUGACCAAACAAAGGAAGCACCGGAGAUUCUGUACCACAUUAAAAAGGCCCUCUCCACCUGUACCUUCCUGAGGGACAUAGUGGUUAUCAGAGCCAAAGUGCCAAUCCUCAGAUUUACCGAUAAAAUCAGUGAUGUGGAGUGUGAUGUAAAUAUAAACAACAUUGUUGGUAUCAGGAAUACCCACCUGCUGCGCUACUACUCACAAGUUGACUGGCGGGUACGACCUAUGGUGUUAUUUGCCAAGAAGUGGGCCCGUUUUCAUGACAUCAACGAUGCGUCCAAAGCCACUAUUUCCAGCUAUUCCCUCAGUCUGAUGAUAGUCCACUACCUUCAGUGUGGAUGCCAACCAGCAGUUCUCCCGUCACUGCAGAAGCUACAUCCAGACUUGUUUGCUAAAAGCUUAGACAUUCAGAACCUGAAAAUGAACCAUCAGAUGGACUUCAAGGUGCAGAACCGCCAGCCGCUCGGUGACCUGUUUGAGGGAUUUCUGGAGUACUUCACCUACACGUUCAAUUUUGACAACGAUGUUAUAAGUGUAAGACUUGGUACAUGUAUGUCAAAGCGUAUGGCUGUUACCCAAUCUGGGGAAGAAAACAGCUGGAAACAUCUGAAAAUUGAAGAGCCUUUUGACUUCACCAACACAGCAAGGUCCUGUUACGAUGUCAAUAUCUUCGAAAGAGUAAAGAGAGUCUUCCGUAUUAGUCACCGAAAGCUCAAACAGACUGGAAAGAUUUCCUCUCUAUUUGAAUGUCCAUUCUGAGUUUGGAGAAGACACAGAAACAUGUUUCAAGAAGUCUAAAGAUCAAACUUCAUGAUUUAUAAGAAACUAAAGAAAAAAGGAUCAAGAAGUGUUCAGACAUCUGAUUUGAUGCCUGUUCAGACAUUCGUUUUGAUUUUAACGAAAUCUGGAAAUUAGGAUAAAAAAGACAGAAACUUGAAUGAAGACCUGCUUAUUCAUCCUUUCUGGUUUUUGAGGGAAUAUACAAGAGGAGAAACCAGUAUAUUUGGAUCAGUAGUAUUGGUUUGAACAGCCAUUCUGAUGUUGGGACAAUGUAAUGAGUUUUUGACCUGCAGAGAAAGCUCGAACUAAUGUAGCAUCUUGCCAUCUUCAAUAGCAGGAACUGUUCAAAUCUGUGACUGGUAGAAUGAGCUUUAGCUAAUAUAGCACCUUGGAAUAGUAGGAGCUGUUCAGAUCUAAAGGUAUGUAGGUAUUGCUGUUGCUAACAUAGCUUCUUUGAAUGCCGUGAAAAUCUGUGGUGUCACUGUCUAUAAUAAACUUAAGUGAACAAAGCAUCUACGAGUAGCAGGAGCUGUUCAAAUCUGCGAUCUGUACAGAAGUUUGAGAACACAAACAUCUUCAAAUAGCGGGAGCUGUUCAAAUCUGAUGCUUGUUGGGAAUCGAGAAACCAUUCUGCCUGGGCUUCAACUGAUUUUGAUUAGCCUUCUGUCUGGAACAGAAUUUUCUCCACUGUAUCCAAUUUUUCCUGUCCUAGUCUUAAUUGGCUUCAAGAUAGCCAAGCAAAUGUGGAUACAUUAUUACUGGGAAUGAAUUCAUGAGUCGGAAGUGAAUACAUUGUACAUAGCUUUGAACUGAACCAGUUGCACAAGAUGUGUUGAUCACCCAGACAAGACUGAUUCAAGCUUCCUCAGAGUGUUACCCCAAGUGUUAGGGAGAUACCCCUGGUGUUAGGGUGAUACCCCUAGUGUUAGGAUGAUAACCCUGGUGUUAGGAUGAUACCAUAGUGUUAGAAUGAUAACCCUGGUGUUAGGAUGAUACCCCUAGUGUUAGGAUGAUACCACUAGUGUAAGGAUGAUACACCUAGUGUAAGGAUGAUACCCCUAGUAUUAGGAUGAUACCAAUAGUGUAAGGAUGAUACCCUUAGUGUUAGGAUGAUACCACUAGUGUAAGGAUGAUACCCCUAGUGUAAGGAUGAUACCCCUAGUGUAAGGAUGAUACCCAUAGUGUAAGGAUGAUAACCCUGGUUUUAGGGAAAGAUGUUUACAUCUUCAGCAACGAAAGAAGGGGGAAUAAUAAACUUUAAAGUGUUCUCUGAAACUUAGUAUGAUAUUCUGGAAGUGAAUUGAACUCUUGUCGAAGACUAAUACUUGAAAUUCACAAGUUAGUGUGAAUAUGUGAACUUCAACAGUGAUGUUAAGAGAUUUUGAGUAGUGUAUGAUAUACACAAGUGUAUAAAAAAAAAUGUUUCCUCAUUUCACAGGUGACGGUAAGUGUUUUUUCAAAUAGUGUCUGAAAUUCACAAGUGACAUUAGUGUUUCCUUACAUAGUAUUUGAAAUUAACAAGAGCCUGAAAAAUUUGGACCCUGAACAUUUUUCAUGGAUAUGGUUAAAUUCUUCAUUUACCUAAGCAAGUGUACAGUUUAAGGUUUUUGAGUGACUGACAAGUGUUUUACCCACAUGUUUUUUCUAUCAGUGUGUGAUAGCGUUACAUGGUAGUGGGGUUAUAGGUAUGUGUUGAUCAUAUAGGUAUGUAGGGAAACACAGGUAUGUUUUGUGGAUCAUAUAGGUAUGUAGGGAAACACAGGUAUGUAUCAGUAUUGAUACAGGUAUGUAUGACAAAUAUCGGUACAUGUAAGUGAAAAUAUAGCUACUUUGGAUACAGAGGAAGUCAAUUUGGAGUAGUGGUGCUAGUGGAAUACUGUAUACUGGAGAAAAUGUUCACUGCAGUUUAAUUUUCGCUUUUUUCGCCACCCGUAAUGAGGCAAAUUUAUUUUGACAGAGAAAGUUAGUAAACAGCAUGAUAUAUUAAGGAAUUCAAUGUGAAGGGCUGGUAUACAGUAUUAUGUUAAGUUGUAGGUCAGUAGACAACGGCAAAUGGCAAAAGUUUGACUUGGAAAGGAUUUCUAGUUAUACAGUAUUAUGUUAAGUUGUAGGUCAGUAGAUACAUAGUGUUAGCUAAGUUAAAAAAAUCUUCAUAGCUCACACUACAAACUGUACAUAGGCAACAUCAACAGCUGUGUCAUCAACUACUCAUGUGCAGAAUGCAUAGAUACUUUAUAGUAUGUACCAAGUGUAUAUAUUGGUUACAGAAGUGCAGGAUUCCAAUACAAAAGACUGGUAUCUAUUGUGUAAGGUAUCUCAGUGCUCAGCUUAAAACUAGAACCAUUUAUGACCAAUGGAAAUGGGAAACAAAAUCACAAAAACAUGUUGAUUAUGGUACAGUGUAGACCCUUAUUGAUUUGUUAAACAGGAAAACAGACUAUGUACGCAGACAAUGAUUCUAGUUAUUAAUAAUGGUGAAACAGAGGAAUAACCAGGAUAUGUAUAGAGAAUUUUUACGUGGAUGGGAACAUAAUGAGGGCCCUGCGUAAAGAGAAAGCGAGUACCCUUAGGCAGUAGUAAUCAACUUGUUAAUUAAGUAUUAUUGUACUGAGUGCUAUAUGAUAAUUUAUUGAUGCCAUUAAUCAUUCACCCCUGAAAUUUCAUAAUGAACUACUCCAACCUUUGAAUUGGAAGAGUUCAAAUAUGUCUUCAGGGGUGAAUGAGUUAAUUUAGGACCAGGGGAGCGUGAGAAAGAACUACUAUAUAUAUAUAUAUAUAUGUAAUAUAUGUUAAAAUUUUAAGUACAUAAUAUAUGUCCAUCUAAGUCUUAUGUUAAUAUUUUGAGAAAAUUAAUUAUCUGUCUUUGAGUUAUUAUAUGUAUGAUGAAUCUUGUCAAACUGUAAACAUGGAGAAUUUCACUGGGUGUAAAUUAACAAUUUCAUUCAUAACACUUUGCAAGGCAGUAUAAUUAUACCAGGAGGUAUAUAGGAAUCGCCUAUCCAACUGUCCGUCACAUUUCUCUUGUUUUCAAUAGGUCUGAGACUGAUAGAAUGUACUGGUUUAUGCAUGGGGGGCAAGAUUAUGCGGUAACAAACAUAAGUGUAAUGCAUUGUACCUGGUACCUACAAACAUAAGUGUAAUACAUGGUACCUGGUACCUACAUGUGUCAAUUUCCAUGUUUACAGUACUGUGUUCAACAUUUCUGCCAUUGUAUUGUAUUAUAUCUGCCAUAUCCUGUGCUUGUCAAUUAACAUAGAAUAUCAUAUGUAUAUAAAAUCUUAUUUCAUUCAUAUAGCGAGAUUACACACUACAUGUUUAUAUACAAAUCGUAUAUUAAGUAUUUCAGUCAUAAAAUGAAAUGACACACCUUGUGUUUUUGCAAAACCUUUAUAUUAUGUAAUAAGUAUUUCAAAUGUGAAUACAUAGCUAGAUUUCAAAAAAAGAUAUUUGUUAUGCAUGUAUUUGCAAGUUUAUUGUAUACAGUAUUGAUAUUUUAAUAACAUGUAGUACUUCUGAUAGUAUGCAUCAGAUAUGAAAAAAUAGUAGUACAACUCGACUGUCUAAUAGUCUAGAAACAGACGUGAUCUUGGUGUUCACUUUGCAUUGUAUGCAAAAAUACUAUUUUAGUUUGGAGUUAGCGGUUUGGAGAUUAUUUUGUCAUUAGUGUGAUCAUGUUGAGUUUGCUAAGUUAAAUUCAAUUAAUCGUGAAGAUGAAGUUAGCACAGCCAAGAAAAUAACUUUUAUUACCAGGUAAGUAAAUGUUUUGAAUUUUGAUGUACCGUACCCACAUGUUCAUCCCGUUAUGAGGACAAUAUGAGGAAUAUUUAAUGUAUCUUGCUGGACUGUAAGUGUAGUUGUGGCUGGUCCAGACUUGCUUUGACUUUAUAAAAGAACAGGGAUAGCAUCUCUAAUUAAGGAUCCCUGUACCACUUCCAAAAACUGUAACUAGUACAUUUAAUGGAAUUUGAUUUUUUCCGGCAUGACUGUAACUUUGAUAAAUCAUUUCUGGAAAGAAACUGUACCUUUCAUGACUUGUAUGAGAAAUAAUAAAGAUGAAAUUAACAAAAUAUACUAGUCAUCAACAACAGUGUUCUGAGGGUAAAACAAAUGUGGGGCUAGACACGGAUUGCUGAUCUAUCACUAUCACCAAUGGAGCUAUAUCUGGUUGAUGGAAGUGUCCUGGUCCAGUUGUGCUACCUUUAUAUCCAAAUGAAAGCUAAGGGAAGGUUACUGCAUACAGAAAAAAAAACAGUGUAGUGGGACAGAGAUCAUUGAAGAUAUUGAGGUAGACAGCCUAAUUAGAUUAACCAGAUGAUUGAUUGAGACCUGCAGAAAUGGUGUCGAGGCGACCAGUAGUGGCAUUGUUUUAUUACAGUAGGUGAUGAUUGCUCCAUUCAAAUUCACCAGACAAAAGUAUGCAAGUAAUUCUGGUAAACUGUACACUUGUAGUGACAAUGUAUAGAGGGAAAAUGAACAGGAGACUUUUUGUAUAAUUUCUUGUCUGGACCAUAACUUUUAAACCUAUAAAUGUCUCUGUAAAACUUUGAAGUACACCUAAAUCUACAACAUCAGAUGUGCAGUGUGCUGUAGUUUUGCCACGGAUACUGACCUCUAAAUACAGUAAGAUAAUGUAAGUAGUGAAUUUUUGUUUGGUCCACAAAUGUUGCGUUUAAAAAAGCACACAAAUGUCAAAUGACAAUUUCUAUUAAAAUCUUGUGUGCAACAUUUACAACUUUGAAAACUAGAGGAGUAUAGCAAAGAGUAUAUAUUACGGCACAUAGUAUUUUUAGUUUUUUUUGUACAUUAAAAGUCUACUUUUAUUGAAUCUUUACAAAAAUCAUUAAGACAAUAUAAAAUGAACCAUAUUAAAUUAUGAGUUCAAUGGUUUAGGGUUUACAUUUAUUUUUAUCGUUCUAUUCUUGCACAUCUAGCACAUUUUUUGAAAAAAAAUCAGAUAUAUGCACAUUGGCUAACAUGGGGUUCACAAAAGUAAUUUCUAGCUUUUUUGGAGCCAAAUUUUAUGUUUUUUAUUUUUUUUUACAAAGAGCACAGACAUUUCCAUCUUUGAUAAUCAACUGAUUAAAAUCACUCUGUUGAUCGGAAGAGAAAAGUAUGAGAUAGGAAAAUUUGGUCGAUAAAGAUGUACAUAUAAAGACAUACCUGUUCUAUAUAGUUGGUUAUCUUCAUAACUGAUUUUUUUUUUCUUAUUAAGAACUUAUUUAUUUGCAAUUCACAGACUGUGAAAUUGGUUGAAAAUGUUAAUUCUGGUUGAAAAUGCAAAAAAUACUCUCUCAUUGGUAUUUGAUUUUUGCUUUCAAAGUCGAGAUUACCAGUUAUCCUGAAAUAUCAUUUGAAUCAUUUUAGGUUAAUUUGUAUGCACUAUUAUUUCAACUUAAUUUGUCUAUACUUAUUACCACAUGGAACUUUCUUUAUGUGUUAGUCAAUAUUUUUUGCCCAUUAAAUUUGAGUGAUUAUUUAUAAGCUGGGUGGACCAAAGGUCUAAGCAAUAUGUUCAUAUUGUAAAAGUGUUGUGCAGUCUUAUCGAAAUGUGUCGUAGUGUGUGAUUUGUGUAUUUGUAAUCGUAUACUGUAGUAGUACAAAAAGAUUGAUUUGUGUAUUUGUUUUCUAAGUACUGUCUACAAAAUGAUUUACAUUUAUCAGUAGAUAAGUAAAUUCUGUACUGGAUGGUAAGUGAAAACACUGAAAUAUUUCUGAAGGUUUUCUUUGAUAUUUGAGGUACAGGUAUAUUUGAAAAGUUAAUCAAUAUGCUUAUUGUCAGCAAUUUUGCACAAAUCUCAAACCUAAAAAUAUUAAUUUAUAGUCUCUUAUAGAUUCCUAUUUGUUUGGAACAGUGAAAGUGUUUUUUUCUCCAUACCAUGUUUGACUAAACUUAAGAAUUUAGUGAAAGUGGUAAUGUUCACUUGACAAUAUAGCAUAAAUUCUACCAAUUGUUUUUUUUUAAUAAUUUGUGACGAGGAUGAUUUCAAGAACAGGGAGAUGAACAUAUAUUUAUUAAUGCUUUGUUGUCCCUUCAUCAUAACAUAUAACACACACAAGUUGUUAAUUUUGUGUGACUGAUUUUCUUGAUUCGUAACUGGCUGUUUUGACUCUGGCGAUUUUCUUGAUUCGUCCCACCUUCUAUUACUUUCUAGCCUUCCCCCAAUGACUCCUAGGCCCUGUUCUUCAUAGGCUGUUGGUCUUAACUACUGACAAAUACACAUCUUUCAUCUUCUGUACAAUAAUGUUCAAAAAAAAUUCAGGCGCAGAACCGAACCUGCAUGUAUGGGAGUGUAAAAUGUUUGUCCAUCGAAAACAAACACAAAAAUAAUAUUAAAAUUUCAAAAGUUUCUCAAAAAGUUCAUUUUUUAAAUUCUAUGUAAAUGACUUGUUAAGGUUAUCAUGCUAUGAAACACAUCGGUGGUGCUUAGGUAAAUAUGACUAGUAUAUAUAAACCAUACUUAUUACAUUAUGUUCAAUAUCUUAUCAAUUAUUCUAUGUAUACAUAAUCAAUGAUUUAAUCUUAUUUCACCGACAUCCUUUCAUAGUUUGAAAGAACUUUGGUGUAAUUUAAAUUUAAUUAGACAAUUCAGUUACUUGGUCGAUCUUUCUCACUGGUUAAGUAAAUUUGUGAAGUGGAUAUGAUUUGUUUGGUAAGAGAAUUCGUGUGUUUAGAGUCUUCGUGUUGUUAUUUGUAAUUAUUAUGUAGUUAACAUGUGUAUUUCAUCCUGAAAAAUAUACUAGUUAACUGUAUACCUCAUCCAGACUAUUGUAUUAUCUGCAGUGAUAAACUCAUUGGAAAUAAAUAUUUUUCGUUA
RNAcentral lists this unclassified non-coding RNA (9361 nucleotides) under Mizuhopecten yessoensis (Yesso scallop). RNAcentral describes it as "uncharacterized LOC110453748, transcript variant X1". The record is from RNAcentral. Lineage: Eukaryota; Metazoa; Mollusca; Bivalvia; Pectinida; Pectinidae.